Molecule: non-coding RNA, 136 nt
Filed under: Nakamurella multipartita
Lineage: Bacteria; Bacillati; Actinomycetota; Actinomycetes; Nakamurellales; Nakamurellaceae
Also listed under: 1 other name
Source: RNAcentral
GCCAUCAUCGGGGGCGACGGUCGGGGAUGGAAUCCGGUGCGAAUCCGGAGCGGUCCCGCCACUGUGACCAGGCUGAAUCGGCGUCGAGCCGAGCCGGCCCGGGAGUCAGGACUUUCGCCGCCGUCUCGCGACCGCC